This 511-nucleotide ribosomal RNA is filed under the name Aeromicrobium erythreum. RNAcentral's name for it is "bacterial SSU rRNA". It matches the Rfam family "Bacterial small subunit ribosomal RNA", at positions 32 to 558 of the family's 1533-position model. The record is from RNAcentral. Lineage: Bacteria; Bacillati; Actinomycetota; Actinomycetes; Propionibacteriales; Nocardioidaceae.
GGAGCUGGCGGCGUGCUUACACAUGCAAGUCGAGCGGUAAGGCCACUUCGGUGGUACACGAGCGGCGAACGGGUGAGUAACACGUGAGCAACCUGUCCCUUCUCUUCGGAAUAAGCGUUGGAAACGACGUCUAAUGCCGAAUAUGACUUCCUUUUGCAUGAUUGGAAGUGGAAAGCUCCGGCGGAGAGGGAUGGGCUCGCGGCCUAUCAGCUAGUUGGUGUGGGUAAUGGCCCACCAAGGCGACGACGGGUAGCCGGCCUGAGAGGGUGACCGGCCACACUGGGACUGAGACACGGCCCAGACUCCUACGGGAGGCAGCAGUGGGGAAUAUUGGACAAUGGGCGAAAGCCUGAUCCAGCAACGCCGCGUGAGGGAUGACGGCCUUCGGGUUGUAAACCUCUUUCAGCGGGGACGAAGCGAAAGUGACGGUACCCGCAGAAGAAGACCGGCCAACUACGUGCCAGCAGCCGCGGUAAUACGUAAGGUCCGAGCGUUGUCCGGAAUUAUUGGG